CGUCGCCGCGGUAAAACGUAGGGUGCAAGCGUUAAUCGGAAUUACUGGGCGUAAAGCGUGCGCAGGCGGUUAUAUAAGACAGAUGUGAAAUCCCCGGGCUCAACCUGGGAACUGCAUUUGUGACUGUAUAGCUAGAGUACGGCAGAGGGGGAUGGAAUUCCGCGUGUAGCAGUGAAAUGCGUAGAUAUGCGGAGGAACACCGAUGGCGAAGGCAAUCCCCUGGGCCUGUACUGACGCUCAUGCACGAAAGCGUGGGGAGCAAACAGGAUUAGAUACCCCCGUAGUCCCUGUCUCUUAUACA
This 301-nucleotide ribosomal RNA is filed under the name uncultured bacterium. RNAcentral's name for it is "partial 16S ribosomal RNA". It matches the Rfam family "Bacterial small subunit ribosomal RNA", at positions 510 to 808 of the family's 1533-position model. The record is from RNAcentral.